AUAGAGUUUUCCUCUUCGGAGGACAAAAUGACAGGUGGUGCAUGGUUGUCGUCAGCUCGUGUCGUGAGAUGUUGGGUUAAGUCCCGCAACGAGCGCAACCCUUAAGCUUAGUUGCCAUCAUUAAGUUGGGCACUCUAAGUUGACUGCCGGUGACAAACCGGAGGAAGGUGGGGAUGACGUCAAAUCAUCAUGCCCCUUAUGAUUUGGGCUACACACGUGCUACAAUGGACAAUACAAAGGGCAGCGAAACCGCGAGGUCAAGCAAAUCCCAUAAAGUUGUUCUCAGUUCGGAUUGUAGUCUGCAACUCGACUACAUGAAGCUGGAAUCGCUAGUAAUCGUAGAUCAGCAUGCUACGGUGAAUACGUUCCCGGGUCUUGUACACACCGCCCGUCACACCACGAGAGUUUGUAACACCCGAAGCCGGUGGAGUAACCAUUUUGGAGCUAGCCGUCGAAGGUGGGACAAAUGAUUGGGGUGAAGUCGUAACAAGGUAGCCGUAUCGGAAGGUGCGGCUGGAUCACCUCCUUUCUAAGGA
This 536-nucleotide ribosomal RNA is filed under the name Staphylococcus agnetis. RNAcentral describes it as "bacterial SSU rRNA". It matches the Rfam family "Bacterial small subunit ribosomal RNA", at positions 1006 to 1533 of the family's 1533-position model. The record is from RNAcentral. Lineage: Bacteria; Bacillati; Bacillota; Bacilli; Caryophanales; Staphylococcaceae.